ACCUGGCUGGCUCAGUUGGUUGAGCAUCUGACUUCAGCUCAGGUGAUGAUCUUGCGGCUCGUGGGUUCGAGCCCUGCGCCACGCU
RNAcentral lists this transfer RNA (85 nucleotides) under Felis catus (domestic cat). It matches the Rfam family "tRNA". Rfam says of the family: Transfer RNA (tRNA) molecules are approximately 80 nucleotides in length. Their secondary structure includes four short double-helical elements and three loops (D, anti-codon, and T loops). The record is from Rfam by way of RNAcentral. Lineage: Eukaryota; Metazoa; Chordata; Mammalia; Carnivora; Felidae.